GUGAGUAUAGUAUAGCGGUAGUAUUUCUGAUUUCCACUCAGACGGGGCCGGUUCAAAUCCGGCUACUCAC
This 70-nucleotide transfer RNA is filed under the name Leucocryptos marina. RNAcentral describes it as "tRNA-Gly". It matches the Rfam family "tRNA". Rfam says of the family: Transfer RNA (tRNA) molecules are approximately 80 nucleotides in length. Their secondary structure includes four short double-helical elements and three loops (D, anti-codon, and T loops). The record is from RNAcentral. Lineage: Eukaryota; Cryptophyceae; Kathablepharidacea; Katablepharidaceae.